GAUGAACGCUAGCGGCAGGCCUAAUACAUGCAAGUCGAGGGAGAAUGUUGGAUUCGUCUGACAUGAAACCGGCGCACGGGUGCGUAACACGUAUGCAACCUACCUUUAACUGGGGUAUAGCUCAGAGAAAUCUGAAUUAAUCCCCCAUAAGACUACGACAUGGCAUCAUGAUGUAGUUAAAGCUCCGGCGGUUAAGGAUGGGCAUGCGGUACAUUAGCUAGUUGGUGAGGUAAUGGCUCACCAAGGCUACGAUGUAUAGGGGGUCUGAGAGGAUGAUCCCCCACACUGGUACUGAGACACGGACCAGACUCCUACGGGAGGUAGCAGUAAGGAAUAUUGGUCAAUGGACGCAAGUCUGAACCAGCCAUGCCGCGUGGAGGAUGAAGGCCCUCUGGGUUGUAAACUUCUUUUCUUUGGGACGAAACCCCUGUUUCUACGGGGACUGACGGUACCAGAGGAAUAAGCACCGGCUAACUACGUGCCAGCCGCCGCAGUAA
RNAcentral lists this ribosomal RNA (497 nucleotides) under uncultured bacterium. Its description in RNAcentral is "partial 16S ribosomal RNA". It matches the Rfam family "Bacterial small subunit ribosomal RNA", at positions 28 to 523 of the family's 1533-position model. The record is from RNAcentral.